This 371-nucleotide unclassified non-coding RNA is filed under the name uncultured bacterium. Its description in RNAcentral is "contains 16S-23S intergenic spacer region". The record is from RNAcentral.
UCCGAGUUGACCCCGGCAGUCUCCUAUGAGUCCCCGCCAUUACGCGCUGGCAACAUAGGACGAGGGUUGCGCUCGUUGCGGGACUUAAGCCAACACCUCACGGCACGAGCUGACGACAGCCAUGCAGCACCUGUGCUAGCCCCUUACGGACACGGGCUUUCACCCGCUUUAACUAGCAUGUCAAACCCAGGUAAGGUUCUUCGCGUUGCGUCGAAUUAAACCACAUGCUCCGCUGCUUGUGCGGGUCCCCGUCAAUUCCUUUGAGUUUUAGCCUUGCGGCCGUAGUUCCCAGGCGGUUCACUUAAUGCGUUAGCUGCGGCACCGAGGCAAAGCCCCAACACCUAGUGAACAUCGUUUAUGGCUAAGACUAC